This is a non-coding RNA of Parelaphostrongylus tenuis, 74 nucleotides long. The record is from the annotation of a GenBank genome assembly. Lineage: Eukaryota; Metazoa; Nematoda; Chromadorea; Rhabditida; Metastrongylidae.
ACUUCCAUGGCGUAGUGGGCAGCGCGUUCGGUUGUUAACCGUGAGGUUUCAUGGUUCAAGUCUGCGUUGGAGCC